ACGCUCGACACCUACGGGAGGUAGCAGUGGGGAAUAUUGCACAAUGGGGGAAACCCUGAUGCAGCGAUGCCGCGUGAAGGAAGAAGUAUCUCGGUAUGUAAACUUCUAUCAGCAGGGAAGAAAAUGACGGUACCUGACUAAGAAGCCCCGGCUAACUACGUGCCANNCGCGAGUAUNGNGGCGGNGUGACGAGC
Molecule: ribosomal RNA, 194 nt
Filed under: uncultured bacterium
Lineage: Bacteria
Description: partial 16S ribosomal RNA
Rfam family: Bacterial small subunit ribosomal RNA
Source: RNAcentral